CCCUUAGAUGUUCUGGGCCGCACGCGUGCUACACUGAGUGGAUCAGCGGGUCAGGUUGCGCGAAAGUGUUUCCUAAUCUUUAAAUCCGCUCGUGAUGGGGAUUGACGGUUGCAAUUUUCCGUCAUGAACGAGGAAUACCUUGUAAGCGCGGGUCAUCAUCCCGCGCUGAAUACGUCCCUGCCCUUUGCACACACCGCCCGUCGCUCCUACCGAUUGAGUGGUCCGGUGAGGCUUUGGGAUCUGAGCGGAAAGAGCGUUUCGCUGUUUCUGCCCGGAAAACUCAGUCGAACCUUAUCAUUUAGAGGAAGGAGAAGUCGUAACA
Molecule: ribosomal RNA, 322 nt
Filed under: uncultured eukaryote
Lineage: Eukaryota
Description: partial 18S ribosomal RNA
Rfam family: Eukaryotic small subunit ribosomal RNA
Source: RNAcentral